RNAcentral lists this ribosomal RNA (440 nucleotides) under uncultured bacterium. RNAcentral's name for it is "bacterial SSU rRNA". It matches the Rfam family "Bacterial small subunit ribosomal RNA", at positions 17 to 507 of the family's 1533-position model. The record is from RNAcentral.
UCCUGGCUCAGAACGAACGCUGGCGGCAGGCUUAACACAUGCAAGUCGAGCGCCCGCAAGGGGAGCGGCAGACGGGUGAGUAACGCGUGGGAAUCUACCUAUCACUACGGAACAACUCCGGGAAACUGGAGCUAAUACCGUAUACGUCCGAGAGGAGAAAGAUUUAUCGGUGAUAGAUGAGCCCGCGUUGGAUUAGCUAGUUGUGGGGUAAUGGCCUACCAAGGCGACGAUCCAUAGCUGGUCUGAGAGGAUGAUCAGCCACACUGGGACUGAGACACGGCCCAGACUCCUACGGGAGGCAGCAGUGGGGAAUAUUGGACAAUGGGCGAAAGCCUGAUCCAGCCAUGCCGCGUGAGUGAUGAAGGCCUUAGGGUUGUAAAGCUCUUUCACCGGUGAAGAUAAUGACGGUAACCGGAGAAGAAGCCCCGGCUAACUUCGUG